GCGGGCUCCCGGAGGCUGGCGCUGGGCAGCCUGGCGCUGAGCAGCCGGCGGCGGGAGGAGCCCCCGGACAGGCUGCCGCGGGCCGGGGAGCCCGAGUCCCGGGAGUGCUGGCGGGUCAGGGCCUCGGGGAACUCGGCCAGGGCCAACAACCUAGUUCCCGAGCCCGACCCGCUUAGCUCCGAGGCCUCAGCGCACCACUGACUUCUCUGGGCACUGUGGUCUGGUGGGAAGUCUCCAGCUUGGGAGACGGGAAACCUGGGUUUGAGGCUGCUGACCCAUCAUGUGCCUUCAGGCUAUUUUCUUGCCCUCUCUGAGCCUCUGCUUCAAUAAAGUAAGGAAGACUGGC
This is a long non-coding RNA of Lagenorhynchus albirostris (white-beaked dolphin), 346 nucleotides long. RefSeq lists it as uncharacterized. The record is from RefSeq and is a predicted model, not a curated record. NCBI's taxonomy places the organism in Eukaryota, Metazoa, Chordata, Mammalia, Artiodactyla, Delphinidae. The transcript is spliced from 2 exons.